Non-coding RNA from Salvia hispanica, 1021 nucleotides. NCBI's taxonomy places the organism in Eukaryota, Viridiplantae, Streptophyta, Magnoliopsida, Lamiales, Lamiaceae. The record is from RefSeq and is a predicted model, not a curated record.
UUCAACCCUAGCUCUAAUUUUACGGCAUUCUUCUCUUUCUCCUCCAUUCUACGACGCCGACUGAGUAUAGAUCUCUCCUCCAAUCUGGCGUUCUGUCCUCCAAUCCGGCAUACUUUCCUGGAGCAUCUCCGGUGGAAGAGAUCUCUGGCAGAUGAUUCGUGGAGUUUGUCAGAUAUGGAGUGAGUCAAUAUUUGUGUGCUUCACUUCAGAUUGGUUUUUCAAGUUCUCAGCACUACCAAUAAGACCAAGCUAGAUGAAGAACUAACAAGAGCAUCCUACAGAAUCCGUGUUAGCUUUGAAUCAUGAUAAGAAAAAGUGCUUGCGUUAUAGUCUGACCCUAAACUCUGUUAUCUGGAUGAAGGCUAUUCUCAAUGGCCCAAGGGACGGGUUGGUUGAUUUUGCUGAGUCUCGGGCCAGUAGUGAUAAAGAAGUUGAUCUUGUCCUCAAUAGAUCCGUGGUAGAAACUAUACGUUUGGAGACGAGGAGUAGGAGAGGGUACAAUAAAUUAUUCUCGAACUUCUUGCUGGUGGAGGAAAGGGUUGUCACACUUAUUUGAGGAGCAAAGUUAUGAGAUUUAGAGCUUAAAGUUGAAGUGAAGAUAUAAACUCUAAAGAUAUUCUUUCAACCUUUUUGGAUAAAUGCUAGAAUCAGAGACUCUCUUCUCCCUCCUAUCUUCCCAUUGGGACACAAAGCAGAAUCUGCUCAUGAAAUGAGCACUAGAAUUAGUCAUUUAAGAGUGAAAAAAGGAAGCAAGAAUUAUUCGAGCAAAGGCGCGGGAAAAAAUGGGAGAUGGGAGAGAUGAUGAAGCAGUUUAUGACUAAUACUUGUGAGGUUCUAUCAUGAUUCUAUCCAAGCAGCCCCAAUAAUCAAGUCGCGCUCCAGAUUUGAUGAUGAUGUAUCUGCAUAGAAUUGAUGUCUCACGAACUAAGUUCAAAACUCGAUACUUUAUGUUUCUUUUUGCUUUCGUACGUUAGUUGUAUAUUGACUAAUACUUUUGAGGUUUUAUCUAUCAUGUUUCUCA